Molecule: ribosomal RNA, 446 nt
Filed under: uncultured bacterium
Lineage: Bacteria
Description: partial 16S ribosomal RNA
Rfam family: Bacterial small subunit ribosomal RNA
Source: RNAcentral
CCUACGGGUGGCUGCAGUCGAGAAUCUUUCACAAUGGGGGAAACCCUGAUGGUGCGACGCCGCGUGGGGGAAUGAAGGUCUUCGGAUUGUAAACCCCUGUUAUGUGGGAGUAAAUUAAAAAGAUAGUACCACAAGAGGAAGAGACGGCUAACUCGGUGCCAGCAGCCGCGGGAAUACAGAGGUCUCAAGCGUUGUUCGGAAUCACUUGUCGUAAAGCGUGCGUAGGCUGUUUCGUAAGUCGUGUGUGAAAGGUGCGGGCUCAACCCGCGGACGGCACCUGAUACUGCGAGACUAGAGUAAUGGAGGGGGAGCCGGAAUUCGCGGUGUAGAGGUGAAAUGCGUAGAUAUCGAGAGGAACACUCGUGGCGAAGGCGGGUUCCUGGACAUUAACUGACGCUGAGGCACGAAGGCCAGGGGAGCGAAAGGGAUUAGAUACCCCUGUAGUC